CCCUUAGAUGUUCUGGGCUGCACGCGCGCUACACUGAUGCGCUCAACGAGUUUACGACCUUGCCCGGAAGGGUUGGGUAAUCUUUUUAAAACGCAUCGUGAUGGGGAUAGAUUAUUGCAAUUAUUAAUCUUUAACGAGGAAUUCCUAGUAAGCGCGAGUCAUCAGCUCGUGCUGAUUACGUCCCUGCCCUUUGUACACACCGCCCGUCGCUACUACCGAUCGGAUGGUUUAGUGAGACCCUCGGACUGGUCCCGCUGUCGGACAGGCAACUGUUUGCAGCGCGUGCGCCGGGAAGAAGGUCGAACUUGACUAUCUAGAGGAAGUAAAAGUCGUAACA
RNAcentral lists this ribosomal RNA (337 nucleotides) under uncultured eukaryote. RNAcentral's name for it is "partial 18S ribosomal RNA". It matches the Rfam family "Eukaryotic small subunit ribosomal RNA", at positions 1470 to 1796 of the family's 1831-position model. The record is from RNAcentral.